This 300-nucleotide unclassified non-coding RNA is filed under the name uncultured fungus. Its description in RNAcentral is "sequence contains 5.8S rRNA gene, ITS2". The stretch from base 1 to 71 matches the Rfam family "5.8S ribosomal RNA", at positions 84 to 154 of the family's 154-position model. Lineage: Eukaryota; Fungi. The record is from RNAcentral.
GUGAGUCAUCGAAUCUUUGAACGCACGUUGCACUGUCUGGAAUUCCGGGCAGUAUGUCUGUUUGAGUAUCAGAUACCUCUCCUCUCCUUCUCAACCUCACUUGGGGUUGAUGGGAUGAGGGAACUGGAGGGCGAUUGUUUGCAAAGACGAUCCCUUCUAAAAUUCAGAGGCCCUUGGCUGAGACAGAAUUGGAGGCUACGCGCCUUUGUCUGUCCUCAAAUUCACAAGGACCCUCCUUAAACAAACAAUGUUUUUUGAACUUUGAUCUCAAAUCAGGCAAGAUUACCCGCUGAACUUAAG